RNAcentral lists this ribosomal RNA (465 nucleotides) under Vreelandella stevensii. Its description in RNAcentral is "partial 16S ribosomal RNA". It matches the Rfam family "Bacterial small subunit ribosomal RNA", at positions 338 to 795 of the family's 1533-position model. Lineage: Bacteria; Pseudomonadati; Pseudomonadota; Gammaproteobacteria; Oceanospirillales; Halomonadaceae. The record is from RNAcentral.
CCUACGGGGGGCAGCAGUGGGGAAUAUUGGACAAUGGGCGAAAGCCUGAUCCAGCCAUGCCGCGUGUGUGAAGAAGGCCUUCGGGUUGUAAAGCACUUUCAGUGGGGAAGAAAGCCUUGGGGCUAAUACCCUCGAGGAAGGACAUCACCCACAGAAGAAGCACCGGCUAACUCCGUGCCAGCAGCCGCGGUAAUACGGAGGGUGCGAGCGUUAAUCGGAAUUACUGGGCGUAAAGCGCGCGUAGGCGGUCUGAUAAGCCGGUUGUGAAAGCCCCGGGCUCAACCUGGGAACGGCAUCCGGAACUGUCAGGCUAGAGUGCAGGAGAGGAAGGUGGAAUUCCCGGUGUAGCGGUGAAAUGCGUAGAGAUCGGGAAGAAUACCAGUGGCGAAGGCGGCCUUCUGGACUGACACUGACGCUGAGGUGCGAAAGCGUGGGUAGCAAACAGGAUUAGAUACCCCAGUAGUC